CAACCCUCGAGCCCCCGUGGCCCGGCGUUGGGGAUCUGCCACGGCAGGCCCCUAAAACCAGUGGCGGACCCGAAGGCCCUCUCCUUUGCGCAGUAGCAUCAGCCUCGCAUUGGGAUCCCUCGGCGUCCUGCCUCUAAACCCCCCACAAGUCCGCUCCGGCGGCACCAAGG
This 170-nucleotide unclassified non-coding RNA is filed under the name uncultured Plectosphaerella. RNAcentral's name for it is "sequence contains ITS2". Lineage: Eukaryota; Fungi; Ascomycota; Sordariomycetes; Glomerellales; Plectosphaerellaceae. The record is from RNAcentral.